This 489-nucleotide ribosomal RNA is filed under the name Triticum aestivum (bread wheat). RNAcentral describes it as "partial small subunit ribosomal RNA". The record is from RNAcentral. Lineage: Eukaryota; Viridiplantae; Streptophyta; Magnoliopsida; Poales; Poaceae.
AUGUGCAAGUUAAACGUAUGUCCAAUAAUUACUAAUAUUAAGUUUAUAAUGUUGGCACAGUCUGUUAUUGCCGUUAUCUUCUUGGGAGUACUUGAGAAGGCGUGGCUGGGAAUGUGGGGACAUGCCAUGGCAGAGGCGCAUGGUCGGCAGGAGGAGUCAGGGAGGCCUGAAGGUGGACAUGUGGAUGUUAUCGCGGCAUUGACACAUUUCGCUCCACCGAUGCUACAUACCAGGGAUUUGUUGGAAGCCACAGAGCGCACCCGAGAAAGAGAGGAGGAGAAUGCUCUGAAGAGAGGAAAUGAUAAGUUUUAUUGUUUUGUUUUAAGAGAAAGGGAUUUGAUAUGUAGUCCUCUGGCUUAUUUGUAUUCUACUAUGUGUAUGGCCAAAGAAAUCAUGAUUUCAUACACAUAUAUUUUUAAACAAAACCCUAUGUAUGUUUUGCUCAAACAGUGUCAUUGGAAAGCGCUCAUAUUUUCAAUGCGUACAUGA